CCUGAUCUACAUCAGAGGAGCUUCCUUCAUUUGCUGUGUGAUCACAGAGUGUAGUCCUACCCUGUGACUAACAAUGUCUUUUUUGGACACACUGCGCCAGUGGGACGAUGCUAUAACGUGUGUGGACAGAAGCGAUUUGACUGAAGCACUCAGAAUAUUCUUGGACAUCCAAGAGCCAAACUCCAAAAUUUGUUUCAACAUCGGUUGCCUCCAGCUUCUCAACCAAAACCUGGAUGCUGCUGAAAAGGCCUUUGACUGCAGCAUAUGCAAGGACGAGCAUUUGGCGGUCGCCUUCUUUCAAAGAGGAAUCACCUUUUACAAACAGAACCGGUAUGAGGAAAGUGUUGGCGAUUUCCACCUUGCCUUCAAGGCUCUGCGGGGCAACCAGCUGAUAGAUUACAAAGCGCUUGGGCUCAGAUACAAGUUAUAUGCAUGUGAGGUCCUGCACAACAUGGCCCUGGCGGAGGCUCACUUGGGUCAGUGGGAAAAGGCCCAGAAGAACCUUGCGAAGGCUCUCGAAUACAAGACGGACGCCAAGCUCAGCAUCAUCGACAGAGCCAUGCAGUCAACCCUGAAACAAAAACUUUUUAAAGCAGUCGAGUUCCCAUCCGCUGUGCUGUUUCGACCGAACAAGCACUAUGUUGCUGAACUGGAGAAAAAGGACUACUUGGGAAAAGCCAAGGUGGUUGCUUCCGUUGUUCCCCAGGAUCACUUCUCUGGAUUUGCCCCUUUACAGCCACAUGUUGAACAAGAACCUUCAGGUCCAAAGGAGCCUGAGGUUCUAAGAGCUUUGGAAGGAGACCCUCACAUUGUGCGCUAUGAGUUUAUUCCCGAGACGAGUGAUGAGCUGGCGGUUGUCCCUGGCAACAUUGUUUUUGUCCUGCAGAAAGGUUCGGACAACUGGGCUUCAGUUCUUUUCAAUGGAAGAAAAGGCCUUGUUCCUUACAAUUACCUGGAACAUUUGGAGAUGUCCUUGGGUGGUCAGCAGAAGAACCAACUAAUAGAACCUCCAAGUCGGGUACCACCAACCAGGCCCGAAAGAAAACAAGGUCUUCUUCGUGGGGAAAGCAGCAGUCAAGACUUCCAACAGAGGGAAGCCCAGACUGCGGACAACUUGUGUAUUGUCAAAGUGUAUUACAAAUUCAACUUUGCAGUGUCACUAGCAAGUGGCUCCACUUACAAGACACUGAUCGAAAAGAUCAGUAAAAAACUCAACCGCUCUCCCUCGUCAGUCACACUGAGCUUAGCGUCAGAUGCAACAAGUGCCUUGAAUGACAAUACAGAUAUGGAGAGUAUUUGGAGCGCUCAAAACAAGCACAUCACAUUGUGGUGUCAUACUAAAGAACAACCUGCAGAAAAUCCGCAGAACAAUGAGACUGUUCUGGUGGCACUUCACUCCUAUGAGUCAACAAAUCCCGAGGACCUUGGUUUCAAUCAGGGGGAUAAAAUCACAUUCAUCUCUAAAAUUAACCAGGACUGGUUGGAAGGACAUUCUAACGGGAACACUGGCAUCUUUCCUGCUUCCUUUGUGGAGAAAGUGAAUGACCAAUGAUGCUUGCAAAUGUAAAUGGGCAACUUCAGGGGCAGGAUGCUUAAAAGAUAGAGUCACUGAUAAUUUAAACCACUUCGAAGAAAUGUCAUACAUGUUGCCACUAAGCUCCUUCUUCUUCAUAGGCGAUAGCGAUGCCCCUCCUGCCCUCCACGGCUUUCUCCACGGGCGUCUCCCCCAACUUCUGCUCCAAGCCGCGCCAGCUCCGACUCGCCAAAAACGAUGCUGAAAAAUAGAGUGAACACUUCAGUGUGCUUUCACUUUGUACAGUAAGAUUGUGACAAUAAACACAGGACAAAAACAUCAA
RNA transcript from Hippocampus comes (tiger tail seahorse), 1856 nucleotides. It is a transcript of the gene named neutrophil cytosolic factor 2, with no coding region annotated. The record is from RefSeq and is a predicted model, not a curated record. NCBI's taxonomy places the organism in Eukaryota, Metazoa, Chordata, Actinopteri, Syngnathiformes, Syngnathidae. The transcript is spliced from 16 exons.